This 858-nucleotide ribosomal RNA is filed under the name uncultured euryarchaeote. Its description in RNAcentral is "bacterial SSU rRNA". It matches the Rfam family "Archaeal small subunit ribosomal RNA", at positions 1 to 879 of the family's 1478-position model. Lineage: Archaea; Methanobacteriati; Methanobacteriota. The record is from RNAcentral.
UUCCGGUUGAUCCCGCCGGAGGCGACCGCUUUGGGAGUUCGAUUAAGCCAUGCGAGUCGUGAGUCUUAGGGACUCGGCAUACCGCUCAGUAACACGUGGAUAACCUGCCCUAUCGUCUGGAAUAACCUCGGGAAACUGAGAAUAAGGCCGGAUAGUUCACAAUGCCUGGAACGGUUUGUGAAUCGAGGUAGGAUGGGUCUGCGGCGUAUCAGGUUGUAGGGGGUGUAAAGGACCCCCUAGCCUUCGACGCGUACGGGUGUUGGGAGACAUAGCCCGGAGAUGGAUUCUGAGACACGAAUCCAGACCCUACGGGGUGCAGCAGGCGCGAAAACUUCACACUGCAGGAAACUGUGAUGAGGGAACUCCUAGUGCAUGCACUAUGUGUAUGUAGAUCCUACUCUUAACAAGUAGAGGGAAAGGGCUGGGAAAGACCGGUGCCAGCCGCCGCGGUAAUACCGGCAGCUCAAGUGGUCGUCGCUUUUAUUGGGCCUAAAACGUCCGUAGCCUGUUUGGUAAAUCUGUGGGUAAAUCAAUCCGCUCAACGGAUUGAAUUCUGCAGAGACUGCCAGACUAGGGACCGGGAGAGGUGUGGGGUACUCGAGGGGUAGGGGUAAAAUCCUGUCAUCCUUCGAGGACCACCAGUUGCGAAGGCGCCACACUGGAACGGAUCCGACGGUCAGGGACGAAGCCUAGGGGCACGAACCGGAUUAGAUACCCGGGUAGUCCUAGGUGUAAACGCUGUGAACUUGGUGUCGGGGGUCCGCAAGGGGUCCCCGGUGCCGGAGUGAAGAUGUUAAGUUCACUGCCUGGGGAGUACGGUCGCAAGGCUGAAACUUAAAGGAAUUGGCGGGGCAGCAC